GAGACACCCUUCUGGGGCAAGACUUGCUUCAGUGGGGCUUUGGUGCUCAUGGAGUCUGCCCCCUGAGUGUGUCCCU
This 76-nucleotide microRNA precursor is filed under the name Myotis myotis. RNAcentral's name for it is "mir-9229 microRNA precursor family". It matches the Rfam family "mir-9229 microRNA precursor family". RNAcentral also lists the same sequence under 1 other name. Lineage: Eukaryota; Metazoa; Chordata; Mammalia; Chiroptera; Vespertilionidae. The record is from Rfam by way of RNAcentral.